AGACCCGAAACCCGGUGAUCUAGCCAUGGGCAGGUUGAAGGUUGGGUAACACUAACUGGAGGACCGAACCGACUAAUGUUGAAAAAUUAGCGGAUGACCUGUGGCUGGGGGUGAAAGGCCAAUCAAACCGGGAGAUAGCUGGUUCUCCCCGAAAGCUAUUUAGGUAGCGCCUCGUGAAUUCAUCUCCGGGGGUAGAGCACUGUUUCGGCUAGGGGGCCAUCCCGGCUUACCAACCCGAUGCAAACUGCGAAUACCGGAGAAUGUUAUCACGGGAGACACACGGCGGGUGCUAACGUCCGUCGUGAAGAGGGAAACAACCCAGACCGCCAGCUAAGGUCCCAAAGUCAUGGUUAAGUGGGAAACGAUGUGGGAAGGCCCAGACAGCCAGGAUGUUGGCUUAGAAGCAGCCAUCAUUUAAAGAAAGCGUAAUAGCUCACUGGUCGAGUCGGCCUGCGCGGAAGAUGUAACGGGGCUAAACCAUGCACCGAAGCUGCGGCAGCGACACUGUGUGUUGUUGGGUAGGGGAGCGUUCUGUAAGCCUGUGAAGGUGGCCUGUGAG
Molecule: ribosomal RNA, 559 nt
Filed under: Salmonella enterica subsp. enterica serovar Virchow
Lineage: Bacteria; Pseudomonadati; Pseudomonadota; Gammaproteobacteria; Enterobacterales; Enterobacteriaceae
Description: partial 23S ribosomal RNA
Rfam family: Bacterial large subunit ribosomal RNA
Source: RNAcentral